RNAcentral lists this ribosomal RNA (701 nucleotides) under uncultured bacterium. RNAcentral describes it as "bacterial SSU rRNA". It matches the Rfam family "Bacterial small subunit ribosomal RNA", at positions 71 to 764 of the family's 1533-position model. The record is from RNAcentral.
GGGGAGUAGCAAUACUCCCGCCGGCGACCGGCGCACGGGUGAGUAACACGUAUGAAACCUGCCCGUAGCAGGGGGAUAAGCGGAAGAAAUUCCGUCUAAUACCGCGUAACAACCCAUGGAGGCAUCUCCGUGGGUUUAAAGGAAGCGAUUCCGGCUACGGAUGGUCAUGCGUCGCAUUAGCUUGUUGGCGGGGUAACGGCCCACCAAGGCGACGAUGCGUAGGGGUUCUGAGAGGAAGGUCCCCCACACUGGUACUGAGACACGGACCAGACUCCUACGGGAGGCAGCAGUGAGGAAUAUUGGUCAAUGGCCGCAGGGCUGAGCCAGCCAAGUCGCGUGAGGGAUGACGGUCCUAUGGAUUGUAAACCUCUUUUGUCAGGGAGCAAAGGGCGCCACGUGUGGCGUUUUGCGAGUACCUGAAGGAAAAGCAUCGGCUAACUCCGUGCCAGCAGCCGCGGUAAUACGGAGGAUGCGAGCGUUAUCCGGAUUUAUUGGGUUUAAAGGGUGCGCAGGCGGAAUGUCAAGUCAGCGGUAAAAUUUCGGGGCUCAACCCCGUCGUGCCGUUGAAACUGGCGUUCUUGAGUGAGCGAGAAGUAUGCGGAAUGCGUGGUGUAGCGGUGAAAUGCAUAGAUAUCACGCAGAACUCCGAUUGCGAAGGCAGCAUGCCGGCGCUCAACUGACGCUCAUGCACGAAAGCGUGG